Molecule: ribosomal RNA, 446 nt
Filed under: uncultured bacterium
Lineage: Bacteria
Description: partial 16S ribosomal RNA
Rfam family: Bacterial small subunit ribosomal RNA
Source: RNAcentral
CCUACGGGAGGCUGCAGUCGAGAAUCAUUCACAAUGGGGGAAACCCUGAUGGUGCGACGCCGCGUGGGGGAAUGAAGGUCUUCGGAUUGUAAACCCCUGUCAUGUGGGAGCAAAUUAAAAAGAUAGUACCACAAGAGGAAGAGACGGCUAACUCUGUGCCAGCAGCCGCGGUAAGACAGAGGUCUCAAGCGUUGUUCGGAAUCACUGGGCGUAAAGCGUGCGUAGGCUGUUUCGUAAGUCGUGUGUGAAAGGCGCGGGCUCAACCCGCGGACGGCACAUGAUACUGCGAGACUAGAGUAAUGGAGGGGGAACCGGAAUUCUCGGUGUAGCAGUGAAAUGCGUAGAUAUCGAGAGGAACACUCGGGGCGAAGGCGGGUUCCUGGACAUUAACUGACGCUGAGGCACGAAGGCCAGGGGAGCGAAAGGGAUUAGAUACCCCAGUAGUC